This 404-nucleotide ribosomal RNA is filed under the name uncultured Oscillospiraceae bacterium. RNAcentral's name for it is "bacterial SSU rRNA". It matches the Rfam family "Bacterial small subunit ribosomal RNA", at positions 356 to 774 of the family's 1533-position model. The record is from RNAcentral. Lineage: Bacteria; Bacillati; Bacillota; Clostridia; Eubacteriales; Oscillospiraceae.
GGGGAAUAUUGGACAAUGGGCGCAAGCCUGAUGCAGCCAUGCCGCGUGGGUGAAGAAGGCCCUCGGGUUGUAAACUUCUUUUAUCAGGGACGAAACAAAUGACGGUACCUGAUGAAUAAGCCACGGCUAACUACGUGCCAGCAGCCGCGGUAAUACGUAGGUGGCAAGCGUUAUCCGGAUUUACUGGGUGUAAAGGGCGUGUAGGCGGGACUGCAAGUCAGAUGUGAAAACUAUGGGCUCAACCCAUAGCCUGCAUUUGAAACUGUGGUUCUUGAGUGAUGGAGAGGCAGGCGGAAUUCCGUGUGUAGCGGUGAAAUGCGUAGAUAUACGGAGGAACACCAGUGGCGAAGGCGGCCUGCUGGACAUUAACUGACGCUGAGGCGCGAAAGCGUGGGGAGCAAACA